Molecule: ribosomal RNA, 465 nt
Filed under: uncultured bacterium
Lineage: Bacteria
Description: partial 16S ribosomal RNA
Rfam family: Bacterial small subunit ribosomal RNA
Source: RNAcentral
CUACGGGAGGCUGCAGUGGGGAAUAUUGGACAAUGGGGGAAACCCUGAUCCAGCAAUGCCGCGUGUGUGAAGAAGGCCUGCGGGUUGUAAAGCACUUUCGGUUGGGAGGACUGCUUCUAGCACUAAUAUUGUUGGAAGUUGACGUUACCUUCAGAAGAAGCACCGGGUAACUCCGUGCCAGUAGCCGCGGUAAUACGGAGGGUGCAAGCGUUAAUCGGAAUUACUGGGCGUAAAGCGCGCGUAGGCGGCUAGAUCAGUCGGGUGUGAAAGCCCCGGGCUUAACCUGGGAACUGCAUCCGAUACUGUCUAGCUUGAGUACAGGAGAGGAGAGUGGAAUUCCACAUGUAGCGGUGAAAUGCGUAGAUAUGUGGAGGAACACCAAUGGCGAAGGCAGCUCUCUGGCCUGAUACUGACGCUGAGGUGCGAAAGUGUGGGGAGCAAACAGGAUUAGAUACCCUUGUAGUC